UACGGAAGAUGCAAGCGUUAUCCGGAUUUAUUGGGUUUAAAGGGUGCGCAGGUUGUUUGAUUAGUCAGUGGUGAAAGUCUGUCGCUUAACGGUAGGAUUGCCAUUGAUACUGUUGGACUUGAAUAUGGAUGAGGUAGGCGGAAUGUGUAGUGUAGCGGUGAAAUGCAUAGAUAUUACACAGAACACCGAUUGCGAAGGCAGCUUACUAAUCCAUCAUUGACGCUGAGGCACGAAAGCGUGGGGAGUCAAACAGGA
Molecule: ribosomal RNA, 255 nt
Filed under: uncultured prokaryote
Description: partial 16S ribosomal RNA
Rfam family: Bacterial small subunit ribosomal RNA
Source: RNAcentral